This 386-nucleotide ribosomal RNA is filed under the name uncultured bacterium. Its description in RNAcentral is "bacterial SSU rRNA". It matches the Rfam family "Bacterial small subunit ribosomal RNA", at positions 371 to 774 of the family's 1533-position model. The record is from RNAcentral.
AUGGGCGAAAGCCUGACCCAGCAACGCCGCGUGAGGGAUGAAGUAUUUCGGUAUGUAAACCUCGAAAGAAUGGGAAGAAUAAAUGACGGUACCAUUUAUAAGCUCCGGCUAACUACGUGCCAGCAGCCGCGGUAAUACGUAGGGAGCAAGCGUUGUUCGGAUUUACUGGGCGUAAAGGGCGCGUAGGCGGCGCGGUAAGUCACGUGUGAAAUCUCUGAGCUUAACUCAGAACGGCCAAGUGAUACUGCUGUGCUAGAGUGCGGAAGAGGCAACCGGAAUUCUUGGUGUAGCGGUGAAAUGCGUAGAUAUCAAGAGGAACACCUGAGGCGAAGGCAGCUUACGACACAAUCAUUGACACUGAGGCACGAAAGCGUGGGUAGCGAACA